Molecule: ribosomal RNA, 277 nt
Filed under: uncultured bacterium
Lineage: Bacteria
Description: partial 16S ribosomal RNA
Rfam family: Bacterial small subunit ribosomal RNA
Source: RNAcentral
GAUAAACGCUGGCGGCGUGCCUAACACAUGCAAGUCGAACGCCCUUCGCAAGAAGGGAGUGGCGGACGGGUGAGUAACACGUGGGUACCUACCCCGCGGUGAGGAAUACCGACGAGAAAUCGUCGACAAUACCGCAUGAGUUCUCGCAAGAGAGGAAAGCUUCGCAAGAGGUGCCGGGGGAUGGGCCUGCGCCCGAUUAGCUAGUUGGUGAGGUAAAGGCCCACCAAGGCGACGAUCGGUAGCUGGUCUGAGAGGAUGAUCAGCCACACUGGGAUUG